GAUGAACGCUAGCUACAGGCUUAACACAUGCAAGUCGAGGGGAAACGGCAUUGAGUGCUUGCACUCUUUGGACGUCGACCGGCGCACAGGUGAGUAACGCGUAUCCAACCUUCCCAUUACUGUGGGAUAACCUGCCGAAAGGCAGACUAAUACCGCAUAGUCUUCGAUGACGGCAUCAGAUUUGAAGUAAAGAUUUAUCGGUAAUGGAUGGGGAUGCGUCUGAUUAGCUUGUUGGCGGGGUAACGGCCCACCAAGGCUACGAUCAGUAGGGGUUCUGAGAGGAAGGUCCCCCACAUUGGAACUGAGACACGGUCCAAACACCUACGGGAGGCAGCAGUGAGGAAUAUUGGUCAAUGGACGGAAGUCUGAACCAGCCAAGUAGCGUGCAGGAUGACGGCCCUAUGGGUUGUAAACUGCUUUUGUAUGGGGAUAAAGUUAGGGACGUGUCCCUAUUUGCAGGUACCAUACGAAUAAGGACCGGCUAAUUCCGUG
RNAcentral lists this ribosomal RNA (492 nucleotides) under uncultured bacterium. RNAcentral's name for it is "partial 16S ribosomal RNA". It matches the Rfam family "Bacterial small subunit ribosomal RNA", at positions 28 to 507 of the family's 1533-position model. The record is from RNAcentral.